RNAcentral lists this ribosomal RNA (255 nucleotides) under uncultured bacterium. RNAcentral describes it as "partial 16S ribosomal RNA". It matches the Rfam family "Bacterial small subunit ribosomal RNA", at positions 524 to 776 of the family's 1533-position model. The record is from RNAcentral.
GACAGAGGCCCCAAGCGUUAGGCGGAAUCACUGGGCUUAAAGCGUGUGUAGGCGGACGCCUAAGUGUCUUGUGAAAUCCCACGGCUCACCCGUGGAACUGCUGGGCAUACUGGGCGUCUUGGGCCAACUAGGGGCAGCCGGAACAAGCGGUGGAGCGGUGAAAUGCGUAGAUAUCGCUUGGAACGCCGAAGGUGAAAACAGGCUGCUGGGGGUUGUGCCGACGCUGAGACACGAAAGCCAGGGGGAGCAAACGGG